Mus musculus (house mouse) is the source of this 1120-nucleotide long non-coding RNA. RefSeq annotates it as predicted gene, 46585. The transcript is spliced from 3 exons. The record is from RefSeq and is a predicted model, not a curated record. Lineage: Eukaryota; Metazoa; Chordata; Mammalia; Rodentia; Muridae.
CCGGGCUCACAGCGUGCGCACACUCGCGCGCGCACACAUAUACAUACACACACACAGCUUUUCAGCCUAAAAGGAAAUGCUGGAGUUGGAAGAACACUCAUCAUCCAAAGGCUGUGUGAAGCACCAGCGGGCCCUCUUGGUUAAGCUGAGAUACUCUAAAGGAAGUUUGCAGUGGAAGGUUCCUGGCCAAGGAGGAGCAAACGCUUUGAUUUAAAGGGAAUGACAGUGUUUGGGCAUUCGCAACCAUGGAGGUUAUACUCCUGACAGGAACGGUCCCCCAUAGAGGCUGAGUCUACCAUCAUGAUUAACACCUGGCUAUCACAAGAUGACCAUUUUUAAAAUGUGAUCUUCAACAGUUUCAAGCAUGGACAUGAUGGAAUCCCAUCGCACUCACACCCCACCCUCUUUUAUCCUCCUCUGUCUCCCAUGUUGUGCUUGAGAUUCAUGAGAAGAGUCUGCCAUGCUCUCAGGCAUUUGACAGCAGAUCCAUGAGAAGAAUCCGCCAUGCUCUCAGGCAUUUGAUGCCAGAUCCAUGAGAAGAGUCUGCCAUGCUCUCAGGCAUUUGACAGCAGAUCCAUGAGAAGAGUCUGCCAUGCUCUCAGGCAUUUGACGCCAGAUCCAUGAGAAGAGUCUGCCAUGCUCUCAGGCAUUUGAUGCCAGAUCCAUGAGAAGAAUCCACCAUGCUCUCAGGCAUUUGACACUAGGUCCAUGAGAAGAGUCUGCCAUGCUCUCAGGCAUUUGACACUAGGUCCAUGAGAAGAGUCUGCCAUGCUCUCAGGCAUUUGACACUAGGUCCAUGAGAAGAGUCUGCCAUGCUCUCAGGCAUUUGACACUAGGUCCAUGAGAAGAGUCUGCCAUUUGACACCAGCUCCCCAGCUGGUGGUGCUUUGGGGUAGGUUGAAGAAGUGGAGAGUUUCUGGAGGGAAGCCAUUAUCAGGGCACUACUUAGAGACUAAAAGCUUUAAGCCAUUUCCAGCUCACCCCUCUGCUGCCUGCUUACCACCAAGGACAUGAGCUCCCAAUGUCCUGCUCCCAACACCACACCUGCCUCCCCUCCCCUCCACAAUGAACUCGAUUCCUCUGGCACCAUAAUCCAAGAUAAACUCUUCCUUCUAUAAGA